Molecule: ribosomal RNA, 468 nt
Filed under: uncultured bacterium
Lineage: Bacteria
Description: partial 16S ribosomal RNA
Rfam family: Bacterial small subunit ribosomal RNA
Source: RNAcentral
GACGAACGCUGGCGGCGUGCUUAACACAUGCAAGUCGAACGGAAACGCCCUGCUUUUGUGGGGUGCUCGAGUGGCGAACGGGUGCGUAACACGUGAGUAACCUGCCCUUGACUUUGGGAUAACUUCAGGAAACUGGGGCUAAUACCGGAUAGGAGCUCCUGCUGCAUGGUGGGGGUUGGAAAGUUUCGGCGGUUGGGGAUGGACGCGCGGCUUAUCAGCUUGUUGGUGGGGUAGUGGCUUACCAAGGCUUUGACGGGUAGCCGGCCUGGGAGGGUGACCGGCCACAUUGGGACUGAGAUACGGCGCAGACGCCUACGGGAGGCAGCAGGGGCGAGUAUGGCACAAUGAGCGGAAGCCUGAUGCAGCAGCGCCGCGGGCGGGAUGACGGCCUUCGGGUUGUAAAACGCUUUCGCCUGUGACGAAGCGUGAGUGACGGUAAUGAGUAAAGAAGCACCGGCUAACUACGUG